UACAGAGGGGGCAAGCGUUGUUCGGAAUUACUGGCGUAAAGGGCGCGUAGGCGGCCUGCUAAGUCGAACGUGAAAUCCCCGGGCUCAACCCGGGAACUGCGUCCGAUACUGGCAGGCUUGAAUCCGGGAGAGGGAUGUGGAAUUCCAGGUGUAGCGGUGAAAUGCGUAGAGUAUCUGGAGGAACACCGGUGGCGAAGGCGGCAUCCUGGACCGGUAUUGACGCUGAUGCGCGAAAGCCAGGGGAGCAAACA
RNAcentral lists this ribosomal RNA (251 nucleotides) under uncultured bacterium. RNAcentral describes it as "partial 16S ribosomal RNA". It matches the Rfam family "Bacterial small subunit ribosomal RNA", at positions 524 to 774 of the family's 1533-position model. The record is from RNAcentral.